AGCGUAUAUUAAAGUUGUUGCAGUUAAAAAGCUCGUAGUUGAAUUUCGGGGUCAGUAGGUUGGUCAUGCCACUGGUAUGUACUGGUCUCACUGAUUCCUCCUUCCUGAUGAACUGUAAUGCCAUUAAUUUGGUGUCGCAGGGAAUCUGGACUGUUACUUUAAAAAAAUUAGAGUGUUUAAAGCAGGCUAACGCCUGAAUACAUUAGCAUGGAAUAAUGAAAUAGGACGUUCGAUCCUAUUUUGUUGGUUUCUAGGAUUGACGUAAUGAUUAAUAGGGAUAGUUGGGGGCAUUAGUAUUCAAUUGUCAGAGGUGAAAUUCUUGGAUUUAUUGAAGACUAACUACUGCGAAAGCAUUUGCCAAGGAUGUUUUCAUUAAUCAAGAACGAAAGUUAGGGGAUCGAAGACGAUCAGAUACCGUCGUAGUCUUAACCAUAAACUAUGCCGACUAGGGAUCGGAUGAUGUUAAUUUUUUAAUGACUCAUUC
RNAcentral lists this ribosomal RNA (484 nucleotides) under uncultured Glomeromycotina. Its description in RNAcentral is "SSU rRNA". It matches the Rfam family "Eukaryotic small subunit ribosomal RNA", at positions 596 to 1081 of the family's 1831-position model. The record is from RNAcentral. Lineage: Eukaryota; Fungi; Glomeromycota.